This is a long non-coding RNA of Oryzias melastigma (Indian medaka), 644 nucleotides long. RefSeq lists it as uncharacterized. Lineage: Eukaryota; Metazoa; Chordata; Actinopteri; Beloniformes; Adrianichthyidae. The record is from RefSeq and is a predicted model, not a curated record. The transcript has 3 exons.
GAGUGUUGAAGAUGUGGUCUCUAAUCGAAGCCUUCACUACAAGCUCCCCGAGAGCGUUCGGGCAAAAUUUCGCAAUUUUGCAAGCACAGAAGAAUUUGCUGGGGAGAUGUUUACAAAAGAGAAGCAGCAGAAGAAUUUAGGAUUCACAAGCCAAUAUGAGCUAAACCAGAAAGAUCAUAAAAGGACUCAACCUAGAAGACUGCAAGAGAUUUAUACUGGAGGUGAGUUGAGCAUCUGACCAACAAAGGCCAACUAACUUGAACUACUUCUAUUAUGGUGUGAACUUUACUAUUCCGGUAUUGCAUACAGUUCUGCAAAUCAAACCCAGCAUUAAGGACCAGUGAGGCUGAUGCUAGCUAGAGCUGACAUGGUUGAAAACAGCACUUUCAUGUUUUAGGACAAAUGUGUCUAUCAUUUCGUUUCCCAGCAUAUUGUGACAUUGCAAAAGCUAUUUAAAUGCUCUUUCUGGUUUUGGUUUAGCCUGAUGUGGCACAACUGAAGGCCUGCAUGUUGUUUUACAUGUUUAGAAAUCUAGUCAAAGAGUCUUCACAGACUGUGGUUUCCAUAUGCAUGAUUACUGUGUACAUGGUUUAAAUCAGGGGUCUCACAUCAGGGGUAUCAAGACAGUAUUUUACGGCCCCCAC